Long non-coding RNA from Amblyraja radiata (thorny skate), 269 nucleotides. RefSeq lists it as uncharacterized. Lineage: Eukaryota; Metazoa; Chordata; Chondrichthyes; Rajiformes; Rajidae. The record is from RefSeq and is a predicted model, not a curated record. The transcript has 2 exons.
GGCCCACACCUAUCAACAUGUCCCAGCUACACUAGUCUAACCUGCCUGCGUUUGGCAAAAGGCGUCUGGAUUAAACCGGAGUCACCGCUUCCCGUCCACCGGCCAUUCCCCCUCAACUCCGAACGGUGGGAUCUCGCUCUCCGCCCGUGGAUGUCCGCAAGACUCUGGCUGCGGUAAAUAAGGACUUUGGCUCGUUAACCCGCUGGAGCCAAGUUGUAUUCCAAUGAAAUAAAUGUAUUUUCAAUGAAAUAAAUGUAUUUUCCAUGAAA